UACGUAGGGUGCAAGCGUUGCCCGGAAUUAUUGGGCGUAAAGAGCUUGUAGGCGGUUUGUCGCGUCUGCUGUGAAAUUUCGGGGCUCAACCCCGAACUUGCAGUGGGUACGGGCAGACUAGAGUGUGGUAGGGGAGACUGGAAUUCCUGGUGUAGCGGUGAAAUGCGCAGAUAUCGGGAGGAACACCGGUGGCGAAGGCGGCCCGCUGGCCAGCGACUGACGCUGAGACGCGAAAGCGUGGGGAGCAAACAGG
Molecule: ribosomal RNA, 253 nt
Filed under: uncultured bacterium
Lineage: Bacteria
Description: partial 16S ribosomal RNA
Rfam family: Bacterial small subunit ribosomal RNA
Source: RNAcentral